CCUGGCCUUCACCCCGGCAAAGCUCUCAUGAGGAUCAGGUGAAACCAUGUGUGUGGGAACCCUUUUAAAACUGCAAAGAGCUGCAUACACAUCUGAGGGCUUUAGGUUCGCAGAUGCAAUCGGAAGGCGCCGGCGCUGCUAGGCAUUGAGCUUCCAGGGGGCACUUGGUGGAGAGCCCGGCACUCUCCUCCCUAACGAACCAGUUCGCAUUUCCCUCCUGGCCUCUCCUUUUCAGGGCCCCUAAGGAGUGAUCUUCACAGAGAAAGCCAGUCUGUUUAAACGAUAUUGGAAGUUCUGAAUACCACCAGGUCUAUUUUUUAAGUCUGAGUUUACAUUUAAAUCAGGAGCAUUUGUCCAGGUCAGUAAUUUUUCAGCCCAGCUCCUCCAGAGGGGGCGUGUCCAUUACCAGUGAGAAUUUGAAACCUUCCUGACGCCAGGAGGCUGAGGUUUUCCUGCACUGGCCUCCACUUGUGUGUGGAAGGGCAGGGGCGGGGCGGCAGGGAGGCAGGAAGAGGGGUACAGAGGGAGAAGGGUGGGAGAGAAAGGUCAAGGAAGCACAGUCAUAAAUAGAAGUGUCUUUUGCCUUCAAGAUAUUUCAGGUCACACGGAGAAAGGAAAUUCACUCUUAAGAAAUAACAAAGAAACAAAAGACUGAAGUCGGUUCAGAAGUGCUGACAUAAAGACCGGUUUGGAGGGCAGUAAAAUUAAUCAGGAUUGCCUCCUGGGAGUAGGUGCGUCAGCACAAGGUCCUGAAAGCAACCAGGGGAGAAAGGAGCUCCUGGUUUGGGGAUCAUAAAUCCCUUUUCGAGAACAACCAAACUCCAGUAUGAGUAUUUAAGCUCCUUGUCAUCUAAGCUGGGUCUGGGGUCAGGAGCUUGGAUUCUGGUCCUCAUUCCAGCGUCCAGCUCAUCACAGGCCCUGAGCAAAUUCUUUACUCAUCUCCUUGUGCAGGAACAGCUGAAAAGUACUUUGGGAAAACUAGUUUUAACUAUUACUCCCAAACCUUAAUUAGAACUGUAUAAUUCUUUAUCUUUUGUGAAAUGAGUUUUAAGCCAGAACAACCGUUGUAAUUAUUAGAAACAUUUUAAAUAAUUGUCAGUAAUAAUCUUCAUUAAUCAUAAAAAGGGAAACACAUCUAUUAAUCUUUCGAAGCACAGUUCUCUGAUCUUUUGCCAGGCGUAUGAUUCACUCUUUUCUGCCUUAUUUUGUGACAGAAUGUGGUCUGUAUGGGCCCCCACUCAAUAUCAACACAGGACGCCUUCCAAAACAAUGCAAGAAUGUAGGUUCAAGACUGUUUAACGCCCCAGCAAGCACUCAUUAGUGGCAUUCAAGGCAAGUUUUUUAAAAAAGCGGGGGCGGGCACAGGCUGCUGGGGGUUAAUAACUUAGUACUGUGCUUGCCACCGCCCAGUUGUUGCUGGUUUGUGGCAAUCACAGCUGCAUUGUGUCACACCACUGAUUAAUUCCCAGGAACUGCUAAGGGCUGACCUUUUCAGAUGACUGACCUGACUAAAGAAAUCAAACCCAUUUGAGGUCAUGUCUGUGGGCACAGCAAGCUGACUUGCUUGCAUUCUGCCAUGCCUUCUCGAGUGGGUGAAAAACAAUUGGAAUUUCAGUGAGGAACUGGAUGUAAUAUAUGCAGUGGCUCAGAUCUACUCAGCUGCAACCCAGGAUAAUCAGCAAGUAAUACAGAGAGCUGCUUCCUUCAACAGCUGCAUUCAGCACAAAACCGAGGGCCAAUGCUGUGGAGAAAUAAUCCUUCAGCGGUAAGGCAUCAGUGAUCUUUUCCAUGCAUUCCAAAUACUGUAUUGAUCCAAAUUGGAGCAGCAUCAUUCUCUACAACUGUACUGGCAACAGACAGCCACAAAUGAACUAUUUAAUAUGGCAAAAAGCACAGUUAUCUGAGGCUUCUAUUAUUAGCACCAGUUCUCGACUCACUGGGAAAACUCUUCUUCCACUUGUUAAUGCGACAAUGGAACAUUUGUUUGGACACAGCUUUCCAUCAUCGUUCUUCCCACCCCGAACUUCCCUUUACCCCCCAGUUGUCUCCAGACGGAGGUGUUUCCAGCUGGCCGCAGUUCAGCGGAUCUCCAGUCCGUCUGCCCGUGAGAGUCCCAGGAAAGCUGCCAUCUCCAGCGUGUCCAUGCUAACUAAGCCGCCCGGGCUUUGCUCUGGACUCCUACGGAGUCCCUACAGGUAAGGUCUUCCCUGCUCCACCCAGGGAGCGGCCCCUCUCAUACUGCAGAAUGCUCGAAGUCCACAAAUGUUCAUUCUUCCCUUCCUUACUAGUAGAACUAACGCAGUUAAGGCUGAGCUCAUGGUAGGCAACCUCAAAAUCUCAGUGGCUUAUCAAAAAAGUCAUUUAUUUUUCUUGCAGGCCAGUGGAGGCAGCUCUGCUUCAAGUUAUGAGCUGAGUCAGGGCUGCUUUACUUGUCUCUCAUCCUCUGGACCAGUGACCACUUGGGGUGGCAACAGGGCCAGUGGAUGAGCAGAGACACAAGGGGCCUUGUAAGGCCUCAACUCAGAACUAACAAACUCGCUUCUGACCACAUUCCAUUGUCCAAAGCCCUGCAUGAGCUGUAGAAAAGUAUUCUCCACUUUGGUGAACAUUACUAAGAGAAAAGAGGGAAGGAAGAAUUGCAGGCAAGUAAUACCACGUGCCUUAGAUUCCUAUGCAGCUUGGUGUGUACUUGCACCUAAGUUCUGGCCUGUAGGACAUGAGGGGAAGUGAGGGGUACAACUCCAGGCCCUGCCCUUGUAAAGACUAGGCCCUGCCUUUCCCUGUCCGUCUGCUGGGGACGUGGUAGGACUGCAGCAGUUGCCUGGCCCAGACAGAGAUGGCACAGCUAUCCUGCUGAUCCCACCUCUAGACUGCCACGUGUACCUCACUUAUACUGCGUGGGUUUUGCAUCUCAGCUAUGGCAUCUUAAAACCCAAACUAGCACACCAUUCAUUCAUUCAUUCAUUCCCCCAUUCAACAAGUAUGUACUGAGUGUCUUUGUGCCAGGCACUAGGUUUUGGAGAGAUGACAGUGAACAAAAACAAACUUGGCUGUUCUGUAUCUUGGCUGUGGCGGUGGUUACACAAGCCUACACAUGUGAUAAAACUGCAUAGAACUAAAUACACACACAGAGAGGAAUGCCAGUCAAACUGGGAAUUAAAGAAUCAAAAAGUCACUGGUGAUUCAACAUGGCAGCAGUCCAGCUUCAACCAUACAGAUGACAGCAGUGUGCUGAAGUAUGGCAAAGCAAUGAUUUAAAAGAAAUUGAGGCAGAGCUGCCAGUCAGGUAUGCUCACCUUGGACUUUGAAGCAAGACAAACAUAAAGGUCUUUGUUCU
Long non-coding RNA from Chlorocebus sabaeus (green monkey), 3337 nucleotides. RefSeq lists it as uncharacterized. Lineage: Eukaryota; Metazoa; Chordata; Mammalia; Primates; Cercopithecidae. The record is from RefSeq and is a predicted model, not a curated record.